GUUUGUGCUGGAUACCACAUUAAGAAGUGCUCAAGAAACCCAAGUCCUAGACCUGAGGAAUCUCACUGCUCUGUCUUGUGGAGGGCAACGUGAUUGAGGCAACAGAAUUUCAGCCAAUGUACGGAAAAAAGCUGUUCACCAGUCUUGCGGUUUGUGGAUGAGGACAAGAACUCAUUGAUCUGUACGCUGGAGGGAAUGCUCUGAUCACUGGAAUUUGAAAAUGUGUUGAGUGAUGACACUGUGAAACGAACAGGCGUUCCAGCCAGCAGGCAGUCCUGGAGGAUGGUGUCAUAGCCCUGCAGUAGGCAAAGGUGCAUGCUAAGGCUGGGGAGGAAGAUUAAGUCUGAAGUGCUGCUUUUUUGGCUCCUCCUUCUCUCAUUUCUGCUCUGACUGCUUAGUGGGUUCAUCCAAAAUCCUGCUCCUGAAGAAGAGAUUGGUUGGUGUUUACAGAACAGAAUUGACCACACCUGAAACCAACCACUGAAAGGACGUUGGCUAAUGUGGAACUGUUUCAAGAACUUUGACAACACAGAUGGUUCAAACACAGUCAGGAAAUCACAACUCUGCAGUGAGGAACUGGAUGUUGCCUUUAUACAAUUUACUUCUGGAGGACACAGUAACACCUGAGAAUAAUGACUGCUGAAGAAAAACACCUUCUGAGUUCUUCAGCUGUGGCUUU
Cuculus canorus (common cuckoo) is the source of this 679-nucleotide long non-coding RNA. RefSeq lists it as uncharacterized. The record is from RefSeq and is a predicted model, not a curated record. The transcript is spliced from 6 exons. Lineage: Eukaryota; Metazoa; Chordata; Aves; Cuculiformes; Cuculidae.